RNAcentral lists this ribosomal RNA (196 nucleotides) under Pseudomonas aeruginosa. RNAcentral's name for it is "partial 16S ribosomal RNA". The stretch from base 41 to 196 matches the Rfam family "Bacterial small subunit ribosomal RNA", at positions 1 to 156 of the family's 1533-position model. Lineage: Bacteria; Pseudomonadati; Pseudomonadota; Gammaproteobacteria; Pseudomonadales; Pseudomonadaceae. The record is from RNAcentral.
UGAGCCAAGUUUAGGGUUUUCUCAAAACCCAAGCAGUAUUGAACUGAAGAGUUUGAUCAUGGCUCAGAUUGAACGCUGGCGGCAGGCCUAACACAUGCAAGUCGAGCGGAUGAAGGGAGCUUGCUCCUGGAUUCAGCGGCGGACGGGUGAGUAAUGCCUAGGAAUCUGCCUGGUAGUGGGGGAUAACGUCCGGAAA